Molecule: ribosomal RNA, 468 nt
Filed under: uncultured bacterium
Lineage: Bacteria
Description: partial 16S ribosomal RNA
Rfam family: Bacterial small subunit ribosomal RNA
Source: RNAcentral
GACGAACGCUGGCGGCGUGCUUAACACAUGCAAGUCGAACGGAAAGGCCCUGCUUUUGUGGGGUGCUCGAGUGGCGAACGGGUGAGUAACACGUGAGUAACCUGCCCUUGACUUUGGGAUAACUUCAGGAAACUGGGGCUAAUACCGGAUAGGAGCUCCUGCUGCAUGGUGGGGGUUGGAAAGUUUCGGCGGUUGGGGAUGGACUCGCGGCUUAUCAGCUUGUUGGUGGGGUAGUGGCUUACCAAGGCUUUGACGGGUAGCCGGCCUGGGAGGGUGACCGGCCACAUUGGGACUGAGAUACGGCGCAGACUCCUACGGGAGGCAGCAGUGGGGAAUAUUGCACAAUGGGCGGAAGCCUGAGGCAGCAACGCCGCGUGCGGGAUGACGGCCUUCGGGUUGUAAACCGCUUUCGCCUGUGACGAAGCGUGAGUGACGGUAAUGGGUAAAGAAGCACCGGCUAACUACGUG